RNAcentral lists this ribosomal RNA (372 nucleotides) under uncultured organism. RNAcentral's name for it is "partial 16S ribosomal RNA". It matches the Rfam family "Bacterial small subunit ribosomal RNA", at positions 527 to 896 of the family's 1533-position model. The record is from RNAcentral.
GUAGGUGGCAAGCGUUGUCCGGAAUUAUUGGGCGUAAAGCGCGCGCAGGCGGUUCUUUAAGUCUGAUGUGAAAGCACGGCUCAACCGUGGAGGGUCAUUGGAAACUGGAGAACUUGAGUACAGAAGAGGAAAGCGGAAUUCCACGUGUAGCGGUGAAAUGCGUAGAGAUGUGGAGGAACACCAGUGGCGAAGGCGGCUUUUCUGGUCUGUAACUGACGCUGAGGCGCGAAAGCGUGGGGAGCAAACAGGGAUUAGAUACCCUGGUAGUCCACGCCGUAAACGAUGAGUGCUAAGUGUUAGGGGGUUUCCGCCCCCUUAGUGCUGCAGCUAACGCAUUAAGCACUCCGCCUGGGGAGUACGGCCGCAAGGCUG